GAGAGCUUGCUCUCUGGAUCAGUGGCGAACGGGUGAGUAACACGUGAGCAAUCUGCCCCUGACUCUGGGAUAACAGUUGGAAACAGCUGCUAAUACCGGAUAUGAGCUGCGACCGCAUGGUCGGCAGUUGGAAAGAAUUUCGGUCAGGGAUGAGCUCGCGGCCUAUCAGCUUGUUGGUGAGGUAAUGGCUCACCAAGGCGUCGACGGGUAGCCGGCCUGAGAGGGUGACCGGCCACACUGGGACUGAGACACGGCCCAGACUCCUACGGGAGGCAGCAGUGGGGAAUAUUGCACAAUGGGCGCAAGCCUGAUGCAGCAACGCCGCGUGAGGGACGACGGCCUUCGGGUUGUAAACCUCUUUUAGCAGGGAAGAAGCGAAAGUGACGGUACCUGCAGAAAAAGCACCGGCUAACUACGUGCCAGCAGCCGCGGUAAUACGUAGGGUGCAAGCGUUAUCCGGAAUUAUUGGGCGUAAAGAGCUCGUAGGCGGUUUGUCGCGUCUGCUGUGAAACCCCGAGGCUCAACCUCGGGCCUGCAGUGGGUACAGGCAGACUAGAGUGCGGUAGGGGAGAUUGGAAUUCCUGGUGUAGCGGUGGAAUGCGCAGAUAUCAGGAGGAACACCGAUGGCGAAGGCAGAUCUCUGGGCCGUAACUGACGCUGAGGAGCGAAAGGGUGGGGAGCAAACAGGCUUAGAUACCCUGGUAGUCCACCCCGUAAACGUUGGGAACUAGUUGUGGGGGUCAUUCCACGGUCUCCGUGACGCAGCUAAC
Molecule: ribosomal RNA, 770 nt
Filed under: uncultured bacterium
Lineage: Bacteria
Description: bacterial SSU rRNA
Rfam family: Bacterial small subunit ribosomal RNA
Source: RNAcentral